AGCAGCCGCGGUAAUUCCAGCUCCAAUAGCGUAUAUUAAAGUUGUUGCAGUUAAAAAGCUCGUAGUUGAAUUUCGGGAUCAAUGCGUCGGUCGUGCCUUCGGUACGUACUAGCGUCAUUGAUUCCUCCCUUCUGAAGAACCGUGAUGUCAUUAAUUUGGUGUUACGGGGAAUCAGGACUGUUACCUUGAAAAAUUAGAGUGUUUAAAGCAGGCUAACGCUUGAAUACAUUAGCAUGGAAUAAUGAAAUAGGACGUUCGAACCUAUUUUGUUGGUUUCUAGGAUCGACGUAAUGAUUAAUAGGGAUAGUUGGGGGCAUUAGUAUUCAAUUGUCAGAGGUGAAAUUCUUGGAUUUAUUGAAGACUAACUACUGCGAAAGCAUUUGCCAAGGAUGUUUUCAUUAAUCAAGAACGAAAGUUAGGGGAUCGAAGACGAUCAGAUACCGUCGUAGU
Molecule: ribosomal RNA, 450 nt
Filed under: uncultured Glomus
Lineage: Eukaryota; Fungi; Glomeromycota; Glomeromycetes; Glomerales; Glomeraceae
Description: SSU rRNA
Rfam family: Eukaryotic small subunit ribosomal RNA
Source: RNAcentral